RNAcentral lists this long non-coding RNA (929 nucleotides) under Ixodes scapularis (black-legged tick). Its description in RNAcentral is "uncharacterized LOC120846247, transcript variant X2". Lineage: Eukaryota; Metazoa; Arthropoda; Arachnida; Ixodida; Ixodidae. The record is from RNAcentral.
AUUUUCUUGUUUUUUGCAACCGCGGGACCGCGUUUCUGCGCUUCAGAUUGCGUUUUUCCGACUCCUUUGUUUGAUAUCGUGUCGUAUCGUCGUAUUUAUGUAGUUAUUAGGAACGGCAAGGCCUACGUUGUUGCGUCCUUUACCUGAAUAUCGUGACCGAAUCGAGUGUCGGCGAUUUGAAUCGUGUCUUGCGAACCAUCGUCGAACGAAAGGUGAUGGCUGGUCGUGGUUCAUCAGCGUUUGUUUUGAAACUGAUGGGUACCACAAGGCAUGAAGGAGGUGACUUGCAGCAGCAAGGCACUGCAAGCCUUCGCAGCAACUGGCUAGCCAGUGCUGCUCUGUUCUGAACUGCACUGCGUGUCAUGCGGAGGUUUUGUGCAAGCUCUCUGGGCGGCGACGCUAGCCACGAUUGGCUUCGUGGAUGCACAGAAAUACUCAAGGCGCUUGACGUCUGUGGCUCAUCUGUAUUGUUUUUCCCGGUACCACGGCAUGAAGGAGCUGGCCUCCCUCCCUUCCAUCAGCUGCGAGAUACUACAAGCACUGGGCUACAGCUGCAGCUAGCCCAUGGGUACCGUUCUGCGUCCUGUACUGCAUCUAGUUCGAAAGGCAGGUACCGGGGACCAUGACAUCAGUGAGCUGGCUUUCACCUUGUCCAAGGCAGCAGCGGAACACUACGGGCGGGACCCUGGAUCACUGCACCAUGGAUGCCGUCCUGUACCCUGCACGGCACUGCGUGUGGCUUAAGUGGCCAAGCAGAGGGUCAUUGCAUGACUUUUAUGAGGCGCCGCUAGCCAUUGUUUCAAACCACCCUGAAUCGUGGAUCAAGCCUUGCAAGAUGGAAGUUCUCUUUAGGCCCAGCGCCUCUUGAUGGAUCAAGUCUUGUACCCCAUUCCCUCGUGUCUUUCAUAUAAGUAAAUUGUUGGUAUUUC